AAUAGAGAAGAAGACGUGGAAAUGAGUGAGAUGUCUAAAAGUGCAGGCACACAGAGGUGCUAUGUUGGGGGAGCAGGCCCACAUCGGCCACUGAGAGAGAAGCGGCGCCUUUGCUCGCCAGAGUCGACGAAAGACAGACUCUUCUUCCGCGGCGUAGCGGGGCUCAGAUGAAAACACAGGCAGGAAGCGGCUCACGUGUAUUCAGUGCGUGCUGCCUCCCCCCCAGCACCGUCUGAAACUCCGGUUCAUCGUCACACGGAGCCCUACAGGGAGAGGAAUUCCCGCUGUCACUCUGACAUCAUAACGGCUCCGCCAACCAGUGACGGUGCUGCAUAGUCACCGCAGCAGCUCCCUCGAAUAAGCACCAUGGUAACGGGAAUAAUGACGAGGAAGUAAACGCUCGAAACAAGGAAGGGGUGGCGGUAAAUCUGAUUGGCCACCCGUUUUGAGCUUUGACAUGAUUUAACAUGUAGGAAACUGGUUUGUUUUCUACUAAAACAUGUUUUCUCUGUCCGCAUGUACUCAGUAUGUGUACAUGUACAUUCAAGUGCUCUGGUGCAUGACACAACUGCUGUAGGCAUAUGUAAGGGAAAGCAACGCAAAGCAAGUUUAAUUCUAAAGCACAAUCCAAGGACUAUUCAAGGCUUGACAUAAUGCAUUGAAAUAUAAAAAAAGGAAAGAACAGAAUAAAAACAUUAAAGUGCAAAGUGGAGAAAGAAAGAAGAGAUAUAAUUACAGGAAAUGAGAGCAAAAAGUAUUCAUUAUGAGUAUUUAAGCUUCAUUCAAAGGCAGACCUGAAUUUAAAAGUGGUCAAGUUCAAGGCUAAUCAUCCUUUGGACGUUUUCUUCCACGCAGUACCUAAAUGCUACUUCUCCAUGUUUAGUUUGCACUCUGUAGUUUGCACAGUUAGCAGCCCCUCCACCUGAUAACCUGAAAGGUGGAGAGGGUCGAUAGUAAAAAAAAAAAAGAUGUGUUUUGGUCCUAAGUCACUGAGAGAUUUAGAGACAAGCAGCAGUACUUUAAAUUCUAUUUUCUGACGCGUUGGAAGCGAGUGCAGAGGCCUGAGAGAUGGUGUGAUGCGUUCAAUUUUCUUGGUCUUUGUUAAGAUAAGAUGAAACUUUAUUCAUCCACUCAGAUUCUAGCAGCAGCUUGGGGGGAGACCUGAGAAAUGACAGUUAUCUAACCUGCUAGAAAUUAAAUAAUGGAUAUGUUUUUCUGUAUAUAAGUCUGUUUGUGUGUCUGUAGAGACUGGAAUAUAACCCACAUUUGUUUAUUAUUAUUAUUAUUAUUGUUGUUGUUGUUUUUGUUGUUGUUGUUGUAGCAACCCCACAACAAUGGACGUGGUAGGGUUUUUACUAAAGCAAAAUAACUUGUUUCACAGAUGGAAAGUUACCAAGUACAUUCCCUCAUGUACUGUAGGUUACUUAAGUACACGUUGGAGUUUAAUUGUGCUUUACUUGACAAUCUAUUUUUUCAUGCCACUCUUAUAGUUAACUACAUUUCAGAGGGAAAAGUUAUACUUUUUACUGAAUUACAUUUAUUUCAGAGCUUUAGUUAAUCUAAAUAAGUAGUGUAUUAGUAUUCAUACAUUUAAAGCAAAGGAUCUGACAACUUCUUGCACCACUGCUUGUUUCUGAUUGUAGCAGACAGGGCAUCAUGGUUACAGGGCAAAGGAAAAAGGACUGCAUAUAAGUGUGUGUUAGGUUAUGCCCAUGAGUUCUGAAUGUGCAACAUGCUUUUUAUCAUUAUGAAUUCAUUGAUUUUAUAAUCUUUCAUAUCAGUGGCAAUUAUGGGUCUCAAUUAUUACCGAACUACCGUAUAUUUGUCUAAAUAAACAGUAUAUAAAUGUGAUGUUUACUGUAUAAUUCAGAACAUUACAGGAAUUAAAAUGGAGGUGUUUGCGACUGAG
Seriola aureovittata is the source of this 1909-nucleotide long non-coding RNA. RefSeq lists it as uncharacterized. The record is from RefSeq and is a predicted model, not a curated record. The transcript has 2 exons. NCBI's taxonomy places the organism in Eukaryota, Metazoa, Chordata, Actinopteri, Carangiformes, Carangidae.